Molecule: small RNA, 171 nt
Filed under: Chrysemys picta bellii (western painted turtle)
Lineage: Eukaryota; Metazoa; Chordata; Testudines; Emydidae
Description: TUC338 (ENSCPBG00000005507.1)
Source: RNAcentral
UUUACAGCCCUGGAGACUCUAAUCCUCCAUUUAUGCUCAGAAUGGGUACAGCAGUGGGGAUGCAAGCUUCCCAUAGUGCCUUAUGUAUAUACCUCAAACCUGACGUGCAGGGAUUAACUCUAAGGGUAAGUGGGUAGCUCAGUUUCCAUGUCCAUUUAGUUUUUGACUUCU